UAAUGUUGCUUUUCUGGUCAUUUCCUUAUUUCCUAUUUCCUAAUUUGGUGAUCUACAUGAUGCUUCUUUAUCUAUGCAUGAUUCCUUUAUAACGAUAGCUUUGUUUUCUUUUACUGUCAUUGGAUCCUAAUCCUUACCCUUUUUCUCUACAUGUACUAUUUGCUUUGAAUCCAAAAAUGGAUUCAAUUUCUCGUUGCAUUUUCUUCACGGUCAUUAAGGCUCGUUAUCUCCAACGAG
RNAcentral lists this long non-coding RNA (237 nucleotides) under Capsicum annuum. RNAcentral's name for it is "long non-coding RNA (CANN_LNC009674)". The record is from RNAcentral. Lineage: Eukaryota; Viridiplantae; Streptophyta; Magnoliopsida; Solanales; Solanaceae.